UCCUCUUAUACCUCAUUUUUCUUUUUCUUUUCUUCUUAAUUUCCGUCUUCUUUCCCUUUUUAUUUUCAUUUCUUAAUUUUCUUUCUUCUGUCAAAAACCCAUUUGCAUCUUAAAAUGCCCAUUUGCCUUCUUCUUUUGCCUCUCUUUACAGUCUUCAUCACUGAAGAAGAUGAAGCAAUCCUAAUUUCUCUAAUCCAUUUCAUUGUUUCAUUCCUCCUUAACCCCAAACCUACAAAAUCCCAUCACAACAAAACCCCCAAAGCACAAGCUUUAAACCCCAUUAUCCACACCUUAUCAGUGCAAACACAAAAAAGAUGAACCCUAACAUCCCAAAAAGCAAAUCACUACUUAUCUCUUUCCUAAACAAGCAAAGAAUACAAUACCUUAAAAUUACUAAGAACCCUAAAAUUUUCUUGUCGUUUAUUCUUCGAGUUGUUGGUUUUUUCCAUCAUUUAAAUAUUACUUCCUUGAAGUCGUUCAAAAACUUAAGCCCUCAUUCAUAUGCAACAACUAAAAUUUGAAUGAUCAGAUCCAACGGUUGAAUUAAGAUCUUGAGAUUCGAAGCCAAAAUUGAGACCAACUCAAGUGCGAGCUUAGUUGAUCCGUGAGACCCAUUUCUUCUUUUGCUUAUUUUUCGCGCAAAUAAUUGGUUUUUGGAUCUGGGUUUUGGGUGAAAGAACAGAAGAAAUAGUGAAAAUGGGAGAUUUCCAUGAACAAUUGAAAGUUUGAAGAGAAAUGGUGGAUUCGAGAAAUGGGUUUAAGCAAAUAUUGGUGUUGUAGUGAAGGAUUUGGGAUUUGAAUUGAAUGCUCUUCUCUAUCGUUCUUGAAAAUGGAUUUGUAAAACAAGAAAAAACAAAAAACAAAAUGAAAAUUUGAAAAAUAAAAUGGAACUUAUAAAGUUAAUAUUUUAUAUUGAUUUUCGAUUUUUUUUUGAGAUAAAAAGGAGGAAGAAUUUAUGGCGGAUGAGCGAUUGAGCUCCAUCAUGAAUUUUUUUCUCCUUUUUUUUCAAACUUUAUGUGGCUUAUUAAAGCCCUAUUAUUUGUAUGAUAAUUCAAAAGCU
RNAcentral lists this long non-coding RNA (1060 nucleotides) under Gossypium barbadense (sea-island cotton). RNAcentral describes it as "long non-coding RNA (GBAR_LNC005923)". Lineage: Eukaryota; Viridiplantae; Streptophyta; Magnoliopsida; Malvales; Malvaceae. The record is from RNAcentral.